CCGUGCUAGAUGGGGAGGUAGCGGUGCCUUGUAACUUGCAAUCCGCUGUAGCAAGAUUGAAGUCCAUCUAAGGGAUACCAUUGUUGAGUCUGCCCAUGAAAAGUGGUGUUGAUAAUUGGGUCCUGCGCAAUAGACACUUAUGAACUCCGUCAGAUCUGGAAGGAAGCAGCGGUAAGUGAGAAAGUUUAUGUGCCGCAGGGGUUCCUGGUUUGAGCUAACUGUUGUGGUAACGUCCGUAGUAGUAUUUCGAAGUUGGAUGCACGG
Molecule: non-coding RNA, 264 nt
Organism: Fusibacter sp. 3D3
Lineage: Bacteria; Bacillati; Bacillota; Clostridia; Eubacteriales; Fusibacteraceae
Rfam family: Bacterial large signal recognition particle RNA
About the family: The signal recognition particle (SRP) is a universally conserved ribonucleoprotein involved in the co-translational targeting of proteins to membranes. Archaeal SRP consists of a 7S RNA and homologues of the eukaryotic SRP19 and SRP54 proteins.
Source: Rfam